This is an RNA transcript of Lepus europaeus (European hare), 1501 nucleotides long. It is a transcript of the gene named serine hydrolase like 2, with no coding region annotated. The record is from RefSeq and is a predicted model, not a curated record. Lineage: Eukaryota; Metazoa; Chordata; Mammalia; Lagomorpha; Leporidae. The transcript is spliced from 12 exons.
CCUAGCCCGGGUGGAGCGGCUGCCGAUCGCAGGACCGGAACGAUGGGUGAAAACGCUCCCCCGGCCCCUUAGACCGGAGUUGGACGGGGGUGGGAGGGCCACGCACGAGCACCAACCCGCUACCCCCGACCUGGGGCCGUGGAAGAGGGUGCGGGUGGAGGGUGGAGCUCGCUGAGCACGCGAGCAGAAGCCGCAGGCCAGAGCCGGAGGGAGGCCCCAGGACGCGGCUGCGCGCCGCCUCUCCGGGUCCCGGGAGAGAGCGCGUGGGUGCCUGGGGUGCCGUGGCGAAGGCUGCCCGACCAGGGCAGGCCAGCGGCAGGUGCCGCCGGGAGCUCCGCGCUGGGGGCCCUGCGUGCAGCCAUGCGCUGGCCCCUCCCGGGCUCCAGCUCAAACGCAGCGACCCUGCGAGCCCCCCGCCCCCGCCGGGCUGUGCCCCUCAGCCUCCGCACAGGUGGGGGCGCGGGCUGUGCGGAGAGAACCACGAAUGCCUGCUCUGCCCCAGGGCUGCUCUCCGAGCUGAAGCUGGCCGUGCCCUGGGGCCACAUUGCCGCCAAGGCCUGGGGCUCGGCGCAGGGUCCCCCGGUUCUCUGCCUGCACGGCUGGCUGGACAACGCCAACUCCUUCGACCGACUCAUCCCUCUGCUCCCCCAAGACUUUCACUACGUCGCCAUGGACUUCGGGGGUCACGGGCUCUCGUCCCAUUACAGCCCAGGUCUCCCCUAUUACCACCAAAGCUUUGUGAGUGAGAUCCGCAGGGUCGCGGCAGCCUUGAAAUGGAAUCGGUUCUCCCUCAUGGGCCACAGCUUUGGCGGCACUGUGGGCGGCAUGUUCUCCUGCACCUUCCCGGAGAUGGUGGACAAACUCAUCUUGCUGGACGCCUCGCCGUUCGCCCUGGACUCUAACGAGCUGGAGCACCUGCUGACCUACAGGCGGAGAGCCAUCGAGCACACGCUGCAGGUGGAGGCCUCCCAGAAGCCCUCGCGCGUGGUCAGCCCGGCAGAGAUGCUGCAGGGGUUCCUGAAGAACAACAGCCACGUGGGUGAGGAGUGUGGGGAGCUCCUGCUGCAGCGGGGAGCCACGCGGGUGGCCGCAGGGCUGGUGCUGAACAGAGACCGGAGGAUCGCCUGGCAUCACCACCAGACCCAGCGCCAUGAAGACUUUCCCGUGUUCUCCGUGGGGCUCCGAGGUUUAGGUCUCAGGUCCAUGUGGGCCAGUUUUCCUGAUGCUUCAAAGGCCGGAGCACAGCUUCGAAUUCGUCAGCAGGGAGCUGUUUGUGCACGCCAUCCGGAAGCUGCAGGCCCGCGUCCUGCUCAUCAAAGCUCUGCAAGGGUACUACGCCGUGAGGAGAGAGAAUGACGCCAACAGGGAGCCGCUGCUCUUCAUGCUGGCCACGCUGCGGUCCACCCUCACAGAGCGGUUCCAGUUCGUGGAAGUCCCAGGCAACCACUACGUGCACAUGAACGAGCCCCGCCACGUGGCCGGAGUGAUCAGCGCCUUCUUA